This 395-nucleotide unclassified non-coding RNA is filed under the name soil metagenome. RNAcentral describes it as "partial contains 5.8S ribosomal RNA, internal transcribed spacer 2, and large subunit ribosomal RNA". The stretch from base 1 to 120 matches the Rfam family "5.8S ribosomal RNA", at positions 35 to 154 of the family's 154-position model. The record is from RNAcentral.
GAUGAAGAACGUAGCGAAAUGCGAUAAGUAAUGUGAAUUACAGAAUUCAGUGAAUCAUCGGAUCUUUGAACGCACCUUGCGCCUUUUGGUAUUCCGAAAGGCACACCUGUUUGAGCGUCAUGAAUACCUCAAUCUCCAUCUUUUCUUCGGAUUGAUGGGUGACUUGGAUGUUGAGCCCUGCUGGUAUGCUAUAUCAGCUGGCUUUAAACUUAUUAGCCGGCUCUGUACUGGAUCGGUUUGACUCGACGUGAUAAUAUUAUCGUUGAGGAUGCAUGUCUCAUGCAGCCGGAAAGUAUCAAAGCAGCUUCUAGCUUGCCUUUAGUGCACUUUUACAUUUUAGACCUCAGAUCAGGUGGGACUACCCGCUGAACUUAAGCAUAUCAAUAAGCGGAGGA